This is a non-coding RNA of Phalacrocorax carbo (great cormorant), 1184 nucleotides long. The record is from RefSeq and is a predicted model, not a curated record. Lineage: Eukaryota; Metazoa; Chordata; Aves; Suliformes; Phalacrocoracidae.
CGGCCGCUGGCCGAGGCACAGCACCGGGGGGCCGCGCCGCAGUACGCGGGGCGGGGAGCACUGGCUUGUCCCGCCAUGAGGGCCCUGGUGUCGCCUCGGCGGCUGCCGGUACAUGUGCUUGGCCCGGGUGACACGGACGGCCGGGAGCGGCGCACAGGUCCUGGGGCGGGACAGCGGUACGGCCGCUGGGGUGGCGGUGCUACUGGGGCACGCCUACCCGAGAUCGCUAGCGAAUUGCAAGGUAGUUUAAAACCGACCAAUCGAGCAGAUACAAGGAUAUUUUGGAUCAAUCGGGCACGAUAAAUGCAACCCCCGGAGAGCUGCCGGAGACCUGUUACUGGGGUAGCAGGAAAACGGAGAAUAACCAGAUUCCCCCCGACCCCGCUCCACGCGCCUGGAGACCUCCACGCCGCUGGCAUGAACCACGGGUGCCUCCCCGACCAGGGGCAUCACUGAGGAUUAAGUAAGCCAUUCGUACCCUGUAAAUACCAUUGGCUGUAUUUGGCUUAGCUUUGCUUUCGUUGUUCCUGUUUCGUUUCGUCAUAUAUGCAUAUGAACUAUAUGCAAUACUUACUUUUUAGAGUAAUUGGCAUGGCUGAGGUUGAAGAACUCAAGAAGCAAAAAUCACCAGUUUCUAUGUUGUGGAAAGGGCCAAAAAAAAUUAUUCUCUGGAGUGGGUCGGUUAUCUGGAGCGGAUCAUCUGCUGCAGGUGAGCCCAGGUGAGUUGCCCGUUGUGGAUUAUCCUGGGGGGACCCCCCUGGUGUCAGUCAUCCCCAUGCAUGUUCCCCAUGGCGUGUCUGCCCAGACAUGCCCCUGUCCGGCAGUGUCCGCCUCCUCCCCCGCCCUCCCUCUGCGUGUGUCUGUGCCCUCCCAGACGCUGUCCCCUGAGAUGGCCCCCCUGCAUGACUUUUUUUCCCCGGUGACAUUCCUCCCCCCCGCUUCCCCUGGCCUCCUGUUCUGUGCUCGCUGAAGCCUCGUGCUUACGCAGGAUGAGCAGUGGCGAGGCGAGGCGCUGCCAAGCCAACGAAGCCCAAGGCUCAGCAGCGCACAACUCCUUUGCAGGUCAGCCGCUGGCAUCUGGUCUGCCUGGCUGCCCUGUGCCCCGACGCACAGCUGCCCCCCUCACCCCGGGCAGCCUGCCUUCAGAGGGGCAGCUGUGUUCCCCUGAUGGAUUUUCUUCUUUA